GUAGCUCAGUGGUAGAAUGUUUGCCUCACAUGCAAGAGGCUCUGGGUUCAAUCCCUAGC
This 59-nucleotide transfer RNA is filed under the name Cricetulus griseus (Chinese hamster). It matches the Rfam family "tRNA", at positions 7 to 64 of the family's 71-position model. Rfam says of the family: Transfer RNA (tRNA) molecules are approximately 80 nucleotides in length. Their secondary structure includes four short double-helical elements and three loops (D, anti-codon, and T loops). Lineage: Eukaryota; Metazoa; Chordata; Mammalia; Rodentia; Cricetidae. The record is from Rfam by way of RNAcentral.